UGGGGAAUAUUGCACAAUGGGCGCAAGCCUGAUGCAGCCAUGCCGCGUGUGUGAAGAAGGCCUUCGGGUUGUAAAGCACUUUCAGCGGGGAGGAAGGCGGUGAGGUUAAUAACCUCAUCGAUUGACGUUACCCGCAGAAGAAGCACCGUCUAACUCCGUGCCAGCAGCCGCGGUAAUACGGAGGGUGCAAGCGUUAAUCGGAAUUACUGGGCGUAAAGCGCACGCAGGCGGUCUGUCAAGUCGGAUGUGAAAUCCCCGGGCUCAACCUGGGAACUGCAUUCGAAACUGGCAGGCUAGAGUCUUGUAGAGGGGGGUAGAAUUCCAGGUGUAGCGGUGAAAUGCGUAGAGAUCUGGAGGAAUACCGGUGGCGAAGGCGGCCCCCUGGACAAAGACUGACGCUCAGGUGCGAAAGCGUGGGGAGCAAACAGG
RNAcentral lists this ribosomal RNA (429 nucleotides) under Chloroflexota bacterium. Its description in RNAcentral is "Chloroflexi bacterium partial 16S ribosomal RNA". It matches the Rfam family "Bacterial small subunit ribosomal RNA", at positions 355 to 776 of the family's 1533-position model. Lineage: Bacteria; Bacillati; Chloroflexota. The record is from RNAcentral.